AAGGCUUCACCAAGAGUCUUAAUGCCUUCAACGUAGGCGAUGACUGCCCAGUGUUUCCCGGGCUCUUUGAGUUCUGCUCGCGUUACACAGGCGCAUCUCUGCAAGGAGCAACCCAGCUGAACAACAAGGUGACAUAGUCCCGAGUCCUGUUCUUCCUUUCCUCUGGAUCCCUGGACUCGGGAUUUAACCCUGAUCCUGGGCUCCCAGCUUGAGGGGUGGGCAGGAAGGACUGUGACUUAGGUGUUUGUCUUUCAGAUCUGUGAUAUUGCCAUUAACUGGGCUGGUGGUCUGCACCAUGCCAAGAAGUUUGAGGUGAGUGAGGAGGUGAUGGGAAAGACAGUGGCCAUCCUAGGGUAGGUGUUUAGGAUGAUGGUGGGGGGCAGCUGGGAGGGGAAUUGCUCUUCUCUUUAUGAGACCACUGUCUUGCCAUAGGCCUCUGGCUUCUGCUAUGUCAACGACAUUGUGAUUGGCAUCCUGGAGCUGCUCAAGUACCACCCUCGGGUGCUCUACAUUGACAUUGACAUCCACC
This 529-nucleotide long non-coding RNA is filed under the name Homo sapiens (human). RNAcentral's name for it is "non-protein coding lnc-FCHSD1-1:3". The record is from RNAcentral. Lineage: Eukaryota; Metazoa; Chordata; Mammalia; Primates; Hominidae.